GUAGGUGAACCUGCGGAUGGAUCAUUACCGAACUCCUCAGAACACCGGGUCCGCCCGAGUGGCAUGAAAUCGGACAAACAUGCAAGCCGAAAGAGAUCAGAGCCAGACUCUACUCUUAGCUCGGCAAAAAUGUGACAACGCAAACUGCAACCUUUUCGGGGUACCUGGCACAUUGGUUUAAUGAGCAACGGCCGCCCCCAAACUAUUUUGUUUCACGUAACAAUUUGUAACAUUUGUAACCCAAAAAAUGUCUCUAACGAGAUGAUCAUAUACCACUCUAAGCGGUGGAUCACUCGGCUCGUGUGUCGAUGAAGAGCGCAGCCAGGUGCGUGAAUUAAUGUGAAUUGCAGGACACAUUGAACAUCGAUAUCUUGAACGCACAUUGCGGCUCCGGGUCACUCCCGGAGCCACGCCUGUCUGAGGGUCGGCAAAACAUCUAUCGCAAACUGCAGGCACAGCAGCGUUGCGCCUUGGACCGUACAUCUCCCCACCACGGGGAGCGGUCUCAAAUGAUGAAUCAGAGUCUCCAAGCGAACGAAGUAAAACCCCAGUAUGGAAACAAAUCAGAGACGCAGCUCGAUACACAAAUGCGCUCUCAGUUCCAAAGGGGCGUUCAAAAAURAAAGUGAGAAAAUAAAGCUGGUGUUAUUCUCUGUUCGGCACGUUUACACGCGCCUUUCACACUCCGACCUCAGAUCAGACGAGACUACCYGCUGAAUUUAAGCAUAUCACUAAGCGGAGGAAAAGAAACUAACAAGGAUUCCCCCAGUAACGGCGAGUGAAGCGG
RNAcentral lists this ribosomal RNA (787 nucleotides) under Mizuhopecten yessoensis (Yesso scallop). Its description in RNAcentral is "eukaryotic LSU rRNA". The stretch from base 274 to 427 matches the Rfam family "5.8S ribosomal RNA". Lineage: Eukaryota; Metazoa; Mollusca; Bivalvia; Pectinida; Pectinidae. The record is from RNAcentral.